This 72-nucleotide transfer RNA is filed under the name Eutypa lata. Its description in RNAcentral is "tRNA-Arg". It matches the Rfam family "tRNA". From Rfam's summary of the family: Transfer RNA (tRNA) molecules are approximately 80 nucleotides in length. Their secondary structure includes four short double-helical elements and three loops (D, anti-codon, and T loops). RNAcentral also lists the same sequence under 1 other name. Lineage: Eukaryota; Fungi; Ascomycota; Sordariomycetes; Xylariales; Diatrypaceae. The record is from RNAcentral.
GCCCUGCUGGCUCAAUGGUAGAGCAUUAGACUUCUAAUCUAAAGGUUGCGGGUUCGAUCCCCGCGUAGGGUU